UGAAUACGAGACGCUAAGGCGUCGAAGUAGUGUAUGUCAUACUUCCAAGAAAAGCUUGCACUGUCAUAGAUAAAAAACGCCUGUACCAUAACCGACACAGGUGGGUAGGUAGAGUAUACUAAGGGGCGCGAGAUAACUCUCUCUAAGGAACUCGGCAAAAUAACUCCGUAACUUCGGGAGAAGGAGUGCCUUAUUCGUAAGGUUGCAAUAACAAGAUCCAAGCAACUGUUUAUCAAAAACACAGGUCUCCGCUAAGUCGUAAGACGAUGUAUGGGGGCUGACGCCUGCCCAGUGCCAGAAGGUUAAAGAAGUUGGUUAGCAAUUGCGAAGCUGAUAACUGAAGCCCUGGUGAACGGCGGCCGUAACGAUAACGGUCCUAAGGUAGCGAAAUUCCUUGUCGGGUAAGUUCCGACCCGCACGAAAGGCGUAAUGAUUUGGAUACUGUCUCGGAGAGGGGCUCGGUGAAAUAGACUUGUCUGUGAAGAUGCGGACUACCUGCACCAGGACAGAAAGACCCUAUGAAGCUUUACUGUAACUUGAGAUUGAAAUUGGACUUUAUUCGCGCAGCAUAGGUGGGAGGCGUUGAUUAUAAUCUUGCGGGAUUAUUGGAGCCAUCAGUGAGAUACCACUCUUGUAAUGUUAGAUUUCUAACUUUGAAUCAUUAUCUGGUCAAAGAACAGUUUCAGGCGGGCAGUUUGACUGGGGCGGUCGCCUCCUAAACGGUAACGGAGGCGUACAAAGGUUUCCUCUGAACGGUUAGAAAUCGUAUCUAGAGUGUAAAGGCAUGAAGCUUGACUGUGAGACCUACAAGUCGAGCAGGGACGAAAGUCGGUCUUAGUGAUCUGACGGUACUGAGUGGAAAGGCCGUCACUCAACGGAUAAAAGUUACUCUAGGAUAACAGGCUGAUCUCCCCCAAGAGUUCACAUCGACGGGGAGGUUUGGCACCUCGAUGUCGGCUCAUCGCAUCCUGGGGCGGUAGUACGUCCCAAGGGUUGGGCUGUUCGCCCAUGAAAGCGGUACGUGAGCUGGGUUCAGAACGUCGUGAGAAAGUUCGGUCCAUAUCCGGUGUAGGCGUUAGAAUAUUGAGAGGAGCCUUCUUUAGUACGAGAGGACCGAGAAGGACAUACCUCUGGUGUACCAGUUAUCGUGCCAACGGUAAACGCUGGGUAGCUAUGUAUGGAGUGGAUAACCGCUGAAAGCAUCUAAGUAGGAAGCCCACCUCAAGAUAAGUAUUCUCA
Molecule: ribosomal RNA, 1239 nt
Filed under: metagenome
Description: bacterial LSU rRNA
Rfam family: Bacterial large subunit ribosomal RNA
Source: RNAcentral